This is a long non-coding RNA of Triticum aestivum (bread wheat), 1738 nucleotides long. RefSeq lists it as uncharacterized. The record is from RefSeq and is a predicted model, not a curated record. The transcript is spliced from 2 exons. NCBI's taxonomy places the organism in Eukaryota, Viridiplantae, Streptophyta, Magnoliopsida, Poales, Poaceae.
UCACGUUCUCUCCCCUCGAGCAAAACAACCCAGCCUUUCCGGAUCCAAUCCUCCUCCCUCUCCCCCAACCACCCACCGCGACCGCUCCGCCGCUCCAGUCUCCCAAUCAGCGCCGCUCCGCCGCUCCAGUCUCCCAAUCAGCGCCGCUCCAUCUCCCCACCCACCGCCGUGGUGCCGCCGCUCCAGUCUCCCAAUCAGCGCUGCUCCCCUCACUUCCCUCCCUAGGUCGCAAAUGGAGUCGAGCAGGUCAGCGCCGCGGCCAGACUCGCCACAGAUAAGCACCGUCGUCGAGCUGGAGCUGGGCCGCGGCGGAGGCCGGCUUCUUCUGCACAAUCUAUGCACGGAGAGGAGGCCACUGCUUCCUCCGGCGUGUGCUUCUUCUCGGGACGACAUGGAGCUCCUCAAGGUCCCCUCUUCUUCCUCCCCGCAUCUCUCUCUCCGUUGGAUGCGAUUCGGCAGGCGUGGUUCCCUGCCUGAUUCGGUGUCCUCACGCACGUCGAGCAGCAGAUGUCUCCGCCUCCGUUCAUGGUCAGAACACUCUUUCCUUUCUUCUUCUCUCUCGUCCAUCUCCUGGAUUCAACCUAUCUAUCUAUCCAUGCUAGUUAAUCAAAGGACUUUCUGGAUUCUGAAUCUGUAACGGGGGUAGCUAGAUGGAUCAUGUAUGAGGAUGGAUCAGAACGGGAUGAUGGUGGUGAAGAUGAUGGUGAAGCAUCAGAGGAUGAUGGUGCCCGGUAUGAUUUAUAGUUUAUAUACAUACUGCACUGUUAAUUAAAGGUUGUAACCUCACUGUCACACUAAUGGACGCAAAAAAGAAGAGUGGUAGUACUAUCAAUGGUUCAGUCAGCGCCUCAACAACGUCUGCACUACUUCUGAUAUUGUUUUUCAGUAGCUUUUUUCUGCACCUUUUUCUUUCAGUUCUUAGUGUUGCUGCCCUAACCUAUACCACUUGUCCUGUCUUGAGCGUCAUCACGAUGUGUCGGAGUAUCUAUGCUAUACAUCUGUGCUAUGUCUCCCCUGUUUACUUUCAAUUAGCAUUGUCAAGCAGUGUGAAUGGCACUGGUUGCAAAUCUAAAUGCUAAUUACUUCCUAAGAUGUUAAUGUGUAGGAUGAAUGCUAUUAGAGAAUCAGUGCAGCAAUCAAAAGCAAUCUAGUAUUUUUGCUAAGAAAACAGUGCCACCAAGAAGUUCUUCGUGGGACUAUAACUAUUAGUUGUUGGAAUGGUUCGUUUGGAUCCUUGCUUGGGUUAAUAGUUUGUUAUUCGCUGCUUUGUUUGCAAUUUGGGUUUAACUCUAAUACAUAAUUUCUUAUGGCACCUGGUUCCUCCUUGUCUUUGUUGUGUGAAGAUGUUCUUUUUAUCAGGGAUACUUGUGCAGUCGUGCAGGUUGGUUUCAGCACGGUUCUAUAAAGAAGUUGGCACUUUGGUUAUAUAUGUUUUUUUAGAAUCACUUUGGUUAUAUAUGUUGGGGGGUAUUGGUAGGGUAUUUUGUUGCCUAUUCUAAGGCUGUAUAGCCGUUCUUGUCUGUGGUUUAAUUGCUCUCGCUGUUGGCAUUCUACACUGCUUGUGCUAAGAUCUGAAGGUGAUGAACUUGUAUGUUUUAUCUCAUGUUCUGAAACAAGGAUCGACUUGAACAUCUGGACUAGACUAGUGGAUGCCAGCAACUCCUCUGAAACUCUUCUUGAAGUUCAAUGUUUUUCUGGAAAUGAUUGCACAGCAUUACCCCCCCCCCCCCCCCCCCCC